This 1316-nucleotide long non-coding RNA is filed under the name Numida meleagris (helmeted guineafowl). RNAcentral describes it as "lncRNA (ENSNMEG00000012433.1)". The record is from RNAcentral. Lineage: Eukaryota; Metazoa; Chordata; Aves; Galliformes; Numididae.
UGCUUCUUUACCUAUGCUUUUGCAUUCCUGCUUCGCUAAGCAGUGUAACUGGAAGUUGAAUAGGAUUUUUAAAACAAGUAGAGGCAUUCAAGUUAUCUCACAAAAUCCUGCACCACCAUUGCAAGAAGCCCUUUAAUUGUCAAUCUGCUAGCCAUCAGUCUAUGAACUAAUCAGCUUAUACUCCCAUAAGGCACAGAAAUUGUAUGUAAUGACAUGACCCAGUAGCCAAAAAUCAUGCGCAAGGUUGCUUCGCUUGCGCUGUGGUGACCCAAUGGAGAAUACAGCUUUCAUAGGUGGGUGUCUUCAAUUUUUUGUUUUGUAGGAAAGAAAGAACCCAGAAAGCACCAAUAAUAGCAUCUUCAAAGGCAUUUCCACUGCCACAAAUCAGAAUGAUCUAGGUAUGUGUCUACGAGAAAAGAGGCAAUUUCCAGACUUCAACCUUUAGCAACUUUCACACAACUUGUGACCAUGUGUCAUAGGAUGAUGUUCACAGGAUCUUCCAUGCAGUGGCUGAAGAACAGAGUGCCUUACAGACUCCGUGAGUCACAGGACUGUAUUUUUGAAGGAGAAGAUACUAAGGGUGAAUAUCUGGAACUCUGUCACCUGGACACUUUCUUUCCUUCCCAGGGAUCUUUCUUGCCAGUGAAAUAUUAGAAGCUAGCAAAGUCAUUCCAGUGACCCCACGAGUGGGUGGAAGAGGUACGUGAAAAUUAAAUGAAUUAUUUGGAAGCUUCUCUGGAUGCUUCUUAUUUUCCUGUGGGGAGGAAGGACCUAACAUAGUCCGGUGCUAUUUAUUUUUUCCUCCUUAAUUGGUUUCAAGAAGAUUUAUCAACCAUUUCUGUCCAAGCAAUGUGCUAACGCAUACAGUACCACAUGAAUUCAUUACAUUCCCCAAAAGACACAGGGUGAAACUUUGAGCUUUGCAACUGUGGGGUUCUCUUGCCCUGUCUAAUCAUUCAAUGAAGCAAUUGCUUCCCUGUGCUUUGAAAAUAGCUGUCAAAAUGUUCUUGGGGCUGCUCACCUAGUAGGUUCAAAUUACCUCAUGCUUUAAAUGAUCACUUCUCCUGCUUCGUUGAUGCUCUAAGUGUGACACCAAAUGACGUUCUGAAAAGGAGUGAGCAUUUCUCAGAAGGUUAAUCACUUUGCUGGCAUGGGGCUUUAGGGAUAAUGGAAAGACAGUGCCAAUCUUGUAAACACAGAUCAGCUUACUCCAAUGUAAUCUCUUCUAUGAACUGGAAAGCUUGGCCACAGAUGAAGAAAGUGAGAUACAUAAGAAAAGUAAUAAAUACUCAGAUCUUAGCGAAGUGCUGUUGUAA